UGUAGUCUGAAACUCGACUAUAUGAAUAAGUAAUUACUAGUAAUCGUGAAUCACCAUGUCACGGUGAAUUUUAUCUCGGAUUGGUACUAACCACUCGUCGCAUGCUGAAAGGAGCCCGCGCAAUAAGUUUGCUUUUUUGUUAUAAUCACUUUUAACUGCUAUAAUCUGCCAAAACCAGCUUAUCUAGCUUAAACAGGAUUAAAAUAUUAUAAUAGAAUUCUUCGUAUGCGUGACUCUAAUUAGUGUUAAGUCGAAAUAUGGUUCGUGUAGUGGAAGUUGCACGGGGUAAUAAACUUAA
RNAcentral lists this non-coding RNA (298 nucleotides) under Colletotrichum chlorophyti. Its description in RNAcentral is "Bacterial small subunit ribosomal RNA". It matches the Rfam family "Bacterial small subunit ribosomal RNA", at positions 1299 to 1533 of the family's 1533-position model. Lineage: Eukaryota; Fungi; Ascomycota; Sordariomycetes; Glomerellales; Glomerellaceae. The record is from Rfam by way of RNAcentral.